Molecule: long non-coding RNA, 1963 nt
Organism: Grus americana (Whooping crane)
Lineage: Eukaryota; Metazoa; Chordata; Aves; Gruiformes; Gruidae
Exons: 3
Source: RefSeq, a predicted model, not a curated record
CCGAGUGGGGAGCGUGGGUCCGGGGCACCGCAGUGGGGCUCCCCACGCCGGGUAUGUGGGUCCCACGGGUGUCAGCACCCUCUGGGUGCAAGGAGCGUUUUAAAGGGACACCCACGCCUGGGUGCGCUGAGCCCGUGGCGUCGUACGUGGGAGCACGGGGGCUGAGCUGGGGAGCCCGCUGUUGCCCACCCGGUCCGGCGCUGCCGUGGGAGCGUGGCUCUCCUUGCUGCUGAAGGCGCCAGCGUGGGUCCCAGCCCUGGGGUCUACAGCCAAGGCAGAGCGUGUUGCCGCCCACCUUCCUUUCUGGUGGGUGACUGGUGUAGGAGCCAUUUGUGCUGGGAGGGUGGGCGAUACCUUCGUACCCCCCCCCAGUUUUCUCAGGCUCCCCGGUGACUGCCUGCCCGUGGGCUGAAGGCAGGUAGGGCUGUGACAGCCGCACGGGUACAUCCGUAGGGUGGACUGCGUGGAAAAGGAGCGUGACAGCAGCACCUCCUCUAUCUCCGCUCAUCAUCACUGUCUGCUCCAGCACGUUUGCUCAGCCCGACUGUCCCCUGGCAAGCACAAGCUACUCGAGGCGCUGCUGCCGUUCCGCUUGGCCUUCGUGGACACAAACAAGAUGCGGUGGUUUACUUCCGUCAGAUAGAAGGCACGCUGCAAUUCCCUGUUCCCAGAAGAUUUAGAGCAAAGACAAAGAAGAGGGAAGAAAGAAAAAGAAAACAGAAGAACGAAUACACUAUUAAAAUGUUCACUAUCAGAAAUGUCCUGACUUUGCUGCUUAAUCCACCUCCCGCUAGCACGGAGGAGCCAGCCCAGGCCCCACCUUGUGGAAGCUGCAGAGCAAAAUGAAAAUCAUUUAGUGGAACCAGAUGUAGUUUUUUGGCAUGGAUGAAGUGUCUUGGUCUUCUCUGCAAAAUUACCCGUUCUGUUAUCAUCAAACGCAGAGCGUAACAGAAGCUGGUAAGUGGGGUGGUUAUGUUGCCAAGAUAAGGCAAGAAGAAGGACUGGAAACUGCAGACAUUGGAAAGGCAAUAACUGUCUCUGUCCACUUGACCCUUCGCCAUGAGUCCCCGAGAUGUCUGCCAACAGGACCCUUCCCAGACAAACCGCAGAAGCAGCAGCAGUGGAACAGACGAGGUGAAACCCUGGUGCCACCCGGCCGAUGACCUGACCUCACAAGGCAGACUAAUACAGAGUCAACCAAAAUUAUCCCUGGCAGGACUCCACUCCUUUCAAUAGCCUUGUGAUUCCUGCCCGGUGGGUGCUGUUGGAGACCUAGCGGGAGACCAGAAAGAAAAGCUUCAUGAAGAACUAAAAGAAUGAGAAAAUUAUUCUGAGAAAUCACCUCCGCAGGGCAUGGGGAACGGCAGGCUGAAAUCGGCGUGGUCCUGAAUACACCCAGGGCAGGGUGUUAGCUCUGACUGUGAGACCGGGGCAUAUGGGUGCUGCUCCCUCUUGGAUCAUACAACGCUUACCUGCCCUGCCAGAGGGGUGGCGGGCAUCGCGCGCAGCCAGAGCCGCAACAGACCGAGUGCCACCACAUCAGGCUAAAAGGAGCGCCUUCUUAAAGGAAAAAAACCCCUACCAAGCUUUCCUUGGAAUAUUAAACAAUUGUUUUUCAUUCUUUGGAGGAAUCCUCCUUCCUACAUUGAAAAUGAAGGCUCAUGCCAGUACAGUCGCUCUUUCUUCUUUAUCUCCGCUUGGCUACAUUUGGAAGAGAUUAGCGUUGCAUUUGUUUGACAUCCAGGUUAAUAGCUUCCCUUCGUCCCAGUCUCGGCUUCCGGUUUUGGCUAUCUGGAAAGCCAGGCUGGAAAUUAAUCGACAAACUCUGGGGAGAGGAUCUCGGAAGAAAACUCAGAACAGAUUUGAAAAGAGGCUGCUCUAAACUGUGCUGAUUUGGAUGGAAGCCACCAGUGAAAAUUAGAGAUUUUUCAAGAGUUUGCUGCCAAGGAGUUAAUGGCUGAGA